Molecule: ribosomal RNA, 440 nt
Filed under: uncultured bacterium
Lineage: Bacteria
Description: partial 16S ribosomal RNA
Rfam family: Bacterial small subunit ribosomal RNA
Source: RNAcentral
CCUACGGGUGGCAGCAGUGGGGAAUAUUGCACAAUGGGGGAAACCCUGAUGCAGCGACGCCACGUGGGUGAAGGAGUAAUUCGGUACGUAAAGCGCUAUCAGCGGGGAAGAAAAAGAAGGGAACCGAACCAGAAAGCCCGGCCAAAUAAGGGCCAGCAGCCGCGGGAAUACGGAGGGGGCCGGGGUUAUCCGGGAUUACUGGGUGGAAAGGGAGCGUAGACGGGGCGGGAAGGCUGGAGUGAAAAGCCGCAGCUUAACGGCGGGACUGCUUUGGAAACUGGCGAACUUGAGUGCGGGAGGGGUAAGCGGAAUGCCUAGUGUAGCGGUGAAAUGCGUAGAUAUUAGGAGGAACACCGGUGGCGAAGGCGGCUUACUGGACCGUAACUGACGUUGAGGCUCGAAAGCGUGGGGAGCAAACAGGAUUAGAUACCCGGGUAGUC